Molecule: ribosomal RNA, 454 nt
Filed under: uncultured bacterium
Lineage: Bacteria
Description: bacterial SSU rRNA
Rfam family: Bacterial small subunit ribosomal RNA
Source: RNAcentral
UACGGAAGGCAGCAGUGGGGAAUAUUGCACAAUGGACGCAAGCCUGAUGCAGCCAUGCCGCGUGUAUGAAAAAGGCCUUCGGGUUGUAAAGUACUUUCAGUCGUGAGGAAGGUGUUAAGGUUAAUAACCUUAGCAAUUGACGUUAGCGACAGAAGAAGCACCGGCUAACUCCGUGCCAGCAGCCGCGGUAAUACGGAGGGUGCGAGCGUUAAUCGGAAUUACUGGGCGUAAAGGGCACGCAGGCGGUUAAUUAAGUUGGAUGUGAAAUCCCCGGGCUUAACCUGGGAAUGGCAUUCAAGACUGGUUAGCUAGAGUCUUGUAGAGGGGGGUAGAAUUCCAUGUGUAGCGGUGAAAUGCGUAGAGAUGUGGAGGAAUACCGGUGGCGAAGGCGGCCCCUGGACAAAGACUGACGCUCAUGUGCGAAAGCGUGGGGAGCAAACAGGGAUUAGAUACC